Long non-coding RNA from Alnus glutinosa, 743 nucleotides. RefSeq lists it as uncharacterized. The transcript has 2 exons. The record is from RefSeq and is a predicted model, not a curated record. Lineage: Eukaryota; Viridiplantae; Streptophyta; Magnoliopsida; Fagales; Betulaceae.
UUCAAUUAAGAGAAUUUCUAAAGUGAGAGAAAUAAGAUGUCUAGGAAAAGUAUGACAAAACUUAUGUUGGUAAUGAUGGAGUUGAUUAUCCUUGUGAUACUCAAAGUACAUGCUAAUAAUCCUACCACUCCCUCUUCUGCUCACACAACACUACCAACCAACAUUCAUCUCUUCCAACUUGAUAAAGCGGAUACAAGUUAUAUUGAUCAUUGCAUUGAAACCACAUUCAAGAAGUGUAAAUUAACAGAACCAUUUUAUACAGCUCAACAUCUUAUUCGAUGCCUUUUUCGAAGUCCAACACAUCCUAAACAUUUUCCCAUCAACCUUGGUGAUAUGAUAUUAGAUUGCUUUAAGCAUUGUUAUAUGAAAUUGAGACUUCUUGGCUAUCAUCAUGCACAUUGUCUAGUACAGUGCUACGAAGAGGAAACGAAGAAGCAUAAUAUCAAGAAUUAAUAAGCUUCGAGUUUGGUGACUAAGAUGGAAUUGUAGAUUGGCGAGCGAGAUCUUGAAUGUCUGGACCGUAAUAAGGGGUUCGAUGGACUUAUGCUUUGCUGGUUUACCUUGUUGUGUCCUUUGGGUUCCAGUAUAUGAUAUGAUAUGUAUUUUCAUGUGUUACUAAAUAUUGAGGCCCAAAAUCUUGUGGCUUCUAUGUUGUGAGGAAAAAUGUUAUGACAUGUAUCAAUUGAAGAGUAAGACUUUGUAACAAUUAUAUUUAAUGAAAUGAAGUUAUAAUUCUUGAGGUU